ACGUCUUUAGUAUAGUGGUUAUAAUUCCAAUUUCCAAAAUUGGAGACGUGAGUUCAAAUCUUACAAGACGUG
This 72-nucleotide transfer RNA is filed under the name Trentepohlia odorata. Its description in RNAcentral is "tRNA-Trp". It matches the Rfam family "tRNA". Rfam says of the family: Transfer RNA (tRNA) molecules are approximately 80 nucleotides in length. Their secondary structure includes four short double-helical elements and three loops (D, anti-codon, and T loops). The record is from RNAcentral. Lineage: Eukaryota; Viridiplantae; Chlorophyta; Ulvophyceae; Trentepohliales; Trentepohliaceae.